This 314-nucleotide ribosomal RNA is filed under the name Platynothrus peltifer. RNAcentral's name for it is "eukaryotic LSU rRNA". It matches the Rfam family "Eukaryotic large subunit ribosomal RNA", at positions 666 to 944 of the family's 3401-position model. The record is from RNAcentral. Lineage: Eukaryota; Metazoa; Arthropoda; Arachnida; Sarcoptiformes; Camisiidae.
CCAAGGAGUCUAACAUGUGCGCGAGUCACUCGGUCUUGAAUAGGCCAGAGAGGCGCAAUGAAAGUAAUGUUGAUUGAGUUACGAUCCUUAUGCAGUUAUCCGUAUGGGUAACGGUAAGGCGCAGUAACAGCCCGCCAAUUUCGCUUAUUGACGAUAUGGCGGAGUUGUAGCGUACACGUUGGUACCCGAAAGAUGGUGAACUAUGCCUGGGCAGGACGAAGCCAGAGGAAACUCUGGUGGAGGUUCGUAGAAAUUUUGACGUGCAAAUCAAUUUUCAGACCUGGGUAUAGGGGCGAAAGACUAAUCCAACCAUC